Molecule: ribosomal RNA, 407 nt
Filed under: uncultured bacterium
Lineage: Bacteria
Description: partial 16S ribosomal RNA
Rfam family: Bacterial small subunit ribosomal RNA
Source: RNAcentral
GACGAACGCUGGCGGCGGGCCUAACACAUGCAAGUCGAGCGGAGCGGCGGACGGGCGAGUAAUGCCUAGGAAUCUGCCUGGUAGUGGGGGAUAACGUCCGGAAACGGGCGCUAAUACCGCAUAAUAUCAGAUGAGCCUAGGUCGGAUUAGGUAGUUGGAGGGGUAAAGGCAUACCAAGGCUACGAUCCGUAACUGGUCGGAGAGGAUGAUCAGUCACACUGGAACUGAGACACGGUCCAGACUCCUACGGGAGGCAGCAGUGGGGAAUAGUGGACAAUGGGCGAAAGCCUGAUCCAGCCAUGCCGCGUGUGGGAAGAAGGUCUUCGGAUUGUAAAGCACUUUAAGUUGGGAGGCGUUACCGACAGAAUAAGCACCGGCUAACUUCGUGCCAGCAGCCGCGGUAAUUC